RNAcentral lists this ribosomal RNA (445 nucleotides) under uncultured bacterium. RNAcentral's name for it is "bacterial SSU rRNA". It matches the Rfam family "Bacterial small subunit ribosomal RNA", at positions 29 to 501 of the family's 1533-position model. The record is from RNAcentral.
ACGAACGCUGGCGGCAGGCUUAACACAUGCAAGUCGAGCGCCCCGCAAGGGGAGCGGCAGACGGGUGAGUAACACGUGGGAAUGUGCCUUUCGGUUCGGAAUAACCCAGGGAAACUUGGACUAAUACCGGAUACGCCCUUCGGGGGAAAGAUUUAUUGCCGAAAGAUCGGCCCGCGUCUGAUUAGCUAGUUGGUGAGGUAAUGGCUCACCAAGGCGAUGAUCAGUAGCUGUUCUGAGAGGAAGAUCAGCCACACUGGGACUGAGACACGGCCCAGACUCCUACGGGAGGCAGCAGUCGGGAAUUUGGGCAAUGGGCGAAAGCCUGACCCAGCAACGCCGCGUGAAGGAUGAAAUCCCUCGGGAUGUAAACUUCGCAAGAAUGGGAAGAAUAAGUGUGGGCUAAUACCCCUCAUGAUGACGGUACCAUUUGUAAGCCCCGGCUAAC